RNAcentral lists this ribosomal RNA (223 nucleotides) under uncultured bacterium. RNAcentral's name for it is "partial 16S ribosomal RNA". It matches the Rfam family "Bacterial small subunit ribosomal RNA", at positions 111 to 334 of the family's 1533-position model. The record is from RNAcentral.
CAACGCGUGGAUAACCUGCCUCACACUGGGGGAUAACAGUUAGAAAUGACUGCUAAUACCGCAUGAGCGCACAGUACCGCAUGGUACGGUGUGAAAAACUCCGGUGGUGUGAGAUGGAUCCGCGUCUGAUUAGCCAGCUGGCGGGGUAACGGCCCACCAAAGCGACGAUCAGUAGCCGACCUGAGAGGGUGACCGGCCACAUUGGGACUGAGACACGGCCCAA